This is a long non-coding RNA of Heterocephalus glaber (naked mole-rat), 1928 nucleotides long. The record is from Ensembl. NCBI's taxonomy places the organism in Eukaryota, Metazoa, Chordata, Mammalia, Rodentia, Bathyergidae.
UUUAUGUUUUACUUCUUGUUCUUUAAUGCAUAUAGAUGCAAAAAUAGUAUUAGAAAAACUAUUAAAAUUUUAAUUCUAGUAGAUAUUUGGAGCAAUCUAAAAAUAAUUUGAGAAAUUUUUAUGCUAUAAUCUUAUUAGGACCAUUUGAAAAACCCUGUUCUUGGUUUUAUCCUAGAUUAGAGGAUGUGUUCUUUGUCUUCUACUUUUUUGUAUUCUGUUGUGAAGUUUGUCUGUCUUGGCUACUUGAGGGAAAAACUUCUUUACAUGCUUGUUUUCUUGUAUCAAAGUUUUCAUGUGGACAAUCUAAUAAAGUGCUUUGUGUUGCAGCCCAAUCCGUUGUUGGAAGUAGAGUCCAGAGAGGGAGAAGUCAGCUGAAUCAGGGUGGGUAUCUUGGGGAAGUGGGCUCCUCCCUGGCGCUGUCCUCUUCCAUGGCGCCGUAGCUCCUCAGCCUUCUAGGAGCGUGGGGAUGCUGGGCCCAAGAUCUCUGAGUUCUGGGGAGGAAGGCCACACACAAUUUGAACAGGUGUCCAUUUUCACAAAAUAGCGCUGUCAUUUCGUUGCCACUGUUUUGUAGUUGUUUAGAAAAUUAUGAGCAGUUGGGCAUCCGCUAUGUAAAUUUUCCCUAUAUCUCUAAAGCUAUCGUGGGAAGAAUUAAAUUACCACUGUCCCCAAGUUCUUCGAGCAAAACUUCUUUUGGGCUGUUCUUUCAUAUAUACGUUUUAAUAAAAUGAUUCCAAGAAAAGCAUUCGUGUUCACUUGUUAUGCCAAAAGCUCUUAUUUGUUCUAGAUCAGAGAACCUUAUGGAAAAAUAAACUAUAGUGUGUAUCAUUUUCAUUUUUUAAAUUGUAAAGAAGUUUGUGGAACAGUUUGUAUUAACUAGAGAGAUUCGUUUUUCAAUAAGCUUUGGGCUAAGAAAUGUUCCAUUUGGUUAAAUGAGCAUUUUUUUCAGGGCUAACAUUUAGUUUCAUGUUAAAGAAAACAAAGGAAUAAAAAGAUGAGACCUAGUAACAAGAAAUCACAGAAAUAAAGACGAAACCAAGUUUAAGUUUGUGCGCAUGCCGGAGUUCUUGGAAGCAAGUGAGAAACGGUCAGAGAGGCUCUGGGUGCUCUGUGCUGUCGGUGUCAGUGCCCCGGGGCUUAGGGGUUGCUAUGGAAACAGAUCCCACUGCUGUUCUCGCGGGCACCAUGAGUUUUGUCCACUCCUCCUGGACACUGCUGUGGCUGGUGGAAGUCAUCAAAUGGUCACCAUCCAAGUUUAAUUCCCGUGUUGGUGGUUUACUAAGAAGAGCUAAAUUGACAGAGUGGCUCUAGAUAAGAGAACCAGUGAUAGGAGAGCUAGGGAAGAAGCACCUGUCUCCUGUGCUGGAGAGUGGACAGCAUGUUGUGUGGCAUUAUAACUAAGAAACCGGGGAGAACAAAGCCUGCCUCCCUCCCCAUCCCUGAGUAAGACACUGGCUCUCCUUUUUAUUACCUACAAAGGUAGAUCGGACUGAAUCCAGGCACUGUUUCAAACUGUGAAGCUAUGGUGCCCUUGUAUUUCAGACAUUUCAGGGAAGUGGUUAUGGUUCUUACAGAGAUAGGUUGUCCUUGUCAUGGAAGCACUGCUCCAGUGGCCCCGGGGCCAUAUCUGCUCUGUGCUCAGCAUGAAGGGCAAGAAGCUGUGUGUGUGUGGUACGAGUUGUAACCAGUUUCUGGAUCUGUGUGGCACUGUUAAGAUGCUUAUUUUAUAAAUCUGUAACUGUAUGGCAGUAGGAUGCCAAAAGUGUAUAAAGAGCAAUAGUUUCUGUUGCUUACUGCUGUUUGUCAAAAUAUUGUUUCUCAAUAUAUUUAGAGGUCCUUCAGAGUAAUUAUUUUUAACAACUCUUUCCAAAUAUAUGUCCUGUAAAACUAAUAAAAACCAUUUUAUCUUUGGUAACAUUUUAGCACUG